Molecule: long non-coding RNA, 199 nt
Filed under: Actinidia chinensis (golden kiwifruit)
Lineage: Eukaryota; Viridiplantae; Streptophyta; Magnoliopsida; Ericales; Actinidiaceae
Description: long non-coding RNA (ACHI_LNC003297)
Source: RNAcentral
CUGAACUUCAAGAACAAGUGUGUCUGGUUUGAUAGAGGUUCGAAUCGAAAAAUCUUUGAAGGUAGUCAAGAUGGCAUCGUUUCUGAUUAUCUUGAUCUUCUGAUGGAUAGUGGAUGGGACAACCCGCAACAGGUGCUGCAGCCACAGUCUUCCCCGCAAUCGGUUAAAAGUGGACAACAUGUUCAACACUUGAAAUUCC